CCUACGGGAGGCAGCAGUGAGGAAUAUUGGUCAAUGGGCGCGAGCCUGAACCAGCCAAGUAGCGUGAAGGAUGACUGCCCUACGGGUUGUCAACUUCUUUUAUAAAGGAAUAAAGUGAAGCACGUGUGCCUUUUUGUAUGUACUUUAUUAAUUAGGAUCGGCUAACUCCGUGCCAGCAGCCGCGGUAAGACGGAGGAUCCGAGCGUUAUCCGGAUUUAUUGGGUUUAAAGGAAGCGUAGGUGGGCUGUUAAGUCAGUUGUGAAAGUGUGCGGCUCAACCGUAAAAUUGCAAUUGAUACUGGCUGUCUUGAGUGCAGGUGAGGUAGGCGGAAUUCGUGGUGUAGCGGUGAAAUGCUUAGAUAUCACGAAGAACUCCGAUGGCGAAGGCAGCUUACUGGACUGCAACUGACGUUGAUGCUCGAAAGCGUGGGUAUCAAACAGGAUUAGAUACCCUUGUAGUC
Molecule: ribosomal RNA, 460 nt
Filed under: uncultured bacterium
Lineage: Bacteria
Description: partial 16S ribosomal RNA
Rfam family: Bacterial small subunit ribosomal RNA
Source: RNAcentral